This 539-nucleotide ribosomal RNA is filed under the name uncultured bacterium. RNAcentral's name for it is "bacterial SSU rRNA". It matches the Rfam family "Bacterial small subunit ribosomal RNA", at positions 777 to 1315 of the family's 1533-position model. The record is from RNAcentral.
AAUAGAUACCCCGGUAGUCCACCCCGUAAACGUUGGGAACUAGUUGUGGGUCCAUUCCACGGAUUCCGUGACGCAGCUAACGCAUUAAGUUCCCCGCCUGGGGAGUACGGCCGCAAGGCUAAAACUCAAAGGAAUUGACGGGGACCCGCACAAGCGGCGGAGCAUGCGGAUUAAUUCGAUGCAACGCGAAGAACCUUACCAAGGCUUGACAUACACGAGAACGGGCCAGAAAUGGUCAACUCUUUGGACACUCGUGAACAGGUGGUGCAUGGUUGUCGUCAGCUCGUGUCGUGAGAUGUUGGGUUAAGUCCCGCAACGAGCGCAACCCUCGUUCUAUGUUGCCAGCACGUAAUGGUGGGAACUCAUGGGAUACUGCCGGGGUCAACUCGGAGGAAGGUGGGGAUGACGUCAAAUCAUCAUGCCCCUUAUGUCUUGGGCUUCACGCAUGCUACAAUGGCCGGUACAAAGGGCUGCAAUACCGUGAGGUGGAGCGAAUCCCAAAAAGCCGGUCCCAGUUCGGAUUGAGGUCUGCAACUCGA